This 27-nucleotide non-coding RNA is filed under the name Mus musculus (house mouse). Lineage: Eukaryota; Metazoa; Chordata; Mammalia; Rodentia; Muridae. The record is from RNAcentral.
GAGACAAAUGUAGCUGAUUCCAGCUGA